ACAUAAAAAAAUCACCACAAUUAGACCACACAAACUAUAGCUAUGAAUUAUUCUAAUUAAUUAUAGAAAAACACAGAUCUAAAGCUACAAUAAAAAUUUUGUACUAAAGCAUACUAUAUUAUAUGUUCACUAUGUAGAUCUACUUAUCUGGAGUCCAACAAAAUCAGAUUUACUAUUUUAUGAAUUUUAUGUGAUUUACUAUAAUUUUACAAAUAUUCAGCCAAAAUAAAUAAAAAUAAAAAAGACAAAACUGCCUUCAAAACCGCUUAUAGCCAUGUCAGGGACGUAAUAUGCAUGGUUUCAAAAAUUAAGAGAUGUAUUUUACCCGGUUUUGAAGUUCAAGGAUGAAAAUCAGACUUUUGAAAAAGUUGAGGGACGUAAAGUUGACUUUUUUCUAUUUCAGAACACAGUAACAGUAGGCCC
Molecule: long non-coding RNA, 423 nt
Filed under: Sorghum bicolor (sorghum)
Lineage: Eukaryota; Viridiplantae; Streptophyta; Magnoliopsida; Poales; Poaceae
Description: long non-coding RNA (SBIC_LNC005742)
Source: RNAcentral